This 84-nucleotide non-coding RNA is filed under the name Vitreoscilla filiformis. Its description in RNAcentral is "Rfam family:sucA". It matches the Rfam family "SucA RNA motif". The record is from RNAcentral. Lineage: Bacteria; Pseudomonadati; Pseudomonadota; Betaproteobacteria; Neisseriales; Neisseriaceae.
GCGCAAUCCGCCAACCGGUCGAGCCGGGCCGCGGAAGGUUACUUAACCCAUCGGAGCUUCGGAAACCGAAGCAAAAGGUGAGCG